Molecule: long non-coding RNA, 1179 nt
Organism: Mauremys reevesii (Reeves's turtle)
Lineage: Eukaryota; Metazoa; Chordata; Testudines; Geoemydidae
Exons: 3
Source: RefSeq, a predicted model, not a curated record
UGGAAAAGUGGAGAGGACUAUUGGCUGAAUCAAAAUAGAGCAACCAUGAGAGUAUAAAGUUAGUUCCCAGCUUCUGUGGAACAUGGUCCAAAGUAGAAUAACUUAAUCUCAAAUGGGCUAAUAAAUGUUAAAACUGCUCCUUAAGAAAUUGUAUUUCCUGGAUCUGUGACCCAUUACUACCUGGCACCCUUUAAGCAUUGGCUGGGACAGAGAAGAAAAGAGUCUGAGAAUCAAUCCCAGGACUCUCACAUGACCAUGAAGGCUGUUACCACAGGGUGACUGCCAUGGCCCUUGACUUCCAUAUCUUGGCCAUGCCCCAGUUCUGAUGCACGUAGCUUUGUAGCCCUCGUGUAAUAUAGACAUCCUAAGUGUGAACCAGCUAGAACCUGGUAAUCUUAUCCAGCAGCCUCAAGAAGGCAGACUGAGGAGGAAAACUGGCUUGCAUCUCCUCGAAACAGCAUUGUGAGCUGAAAAGAAGGAAGAAAGAUGCUUUGUCUGGCUUCAGGCAUAACUGGGAUAAAAGGCAAAAAAUUGUGCAGCAUGAUGUCUUGUAUUUUCUGAGAUCUUCAUGAAAUUCCCCUCACCUUGACCCCACCUGUUACCUAUUGUGUAUAAAAUGCUUAUGCUUUUCAUUAUAAGGGGCAGUGGAAAAUCUGUAGACAUUUUUGGAUAAAAACCCAAACAGAUGAAGUCAGUGGGUGGUCUGUGUUCAUUGUGACAUCUCACCCAAUGACUGAAUGCUGAAUAUUUUGAAAUCGCUCACUUUUUAAUAUAGAAACUGGGGCAAGGGGAGAAGAGGAAAGAAACUAAUGUUAUGUACCAAGACAAUAUGUUCUUACUCACCCUGAUAAAAUAGAAGAAUGAAAAAAGGCCUUUUGGGAAGGGAAACACAUAGCUGCAUAUUGUUAAGAGUCAGACUGUUUAUCUUUUAGUGUCACCGCCCACUCGCAAUGCUUUAGUGUCAGAUCUCUUCAUAUUGUUGCUAAUGCCCUCUUGCCUUGUUUUAUUAAAUGAUGCUUUAAAUCAAAUGCUUGUUGUCCAUUAAAGAAAAGCUGGUCAGUCAUAGGUCUUAUCCCAAUGGAAAUUUCAUCUCUGUUUCUUACAUUCAGCGGACUUCCCUUGGCUUUCAUUAAGGAAAUGUCUUGAUUGCUGUACUCUUGCCAAACCUGAGGCACAGUA